GGUUAUGGUGGAGAGAUUUGAUAGAAUGUGGUUUAUUGGAGAAGGGAAUGGUAAAUUAUUUUAGUAUUUUUGUUUUGAGAAUUUUAUGAAUAGUAUGAAAAGGUAAAAUGAUAGGAUAUUGAAAGAGGAAUUUUUUAGGUUAGUAGGUGUUUAAUAUGUUAUUGGAGAUUAGUGGAGAAAUAAUUUUAGAAAGAAUGAAGGGAUGGAGUUAAAGUAAAAAUAAUAUUUAGUUGUGGAUGUGAUUGGUGAUAGAAGUAAGGUUUGAUGUUGUAAAGAGUAAUAUUGUAUAGGAAUUUGGAAUGUUAGGUUUAUGAAUUAAGGUAAAUUGGAAGUGGUUAAAUAGGAGAUGGUAAGAGUGAAUAUUUAUAUUUUAGGAAUAAGUAAAUUAAAAUGGAGAAAAUAGUGG
This 406-nucleotide unclassified non-coding RNA is filed under the name Hevea brasiliensis (rubber tree). The record is from RNAcentral. Lineage: Eukaryota; Viridiplantae; Streptophyta; Magnoliopsida; Malpighiales; Euphorbiaceae.